RNAcentral lists this ribosomal RNA (305 nucleotides) under uncultured bacterium. RNAcentral's name for it is "bacterial SSU rRNA". It matches the Rfam family "Bacterial small subunit ribosomal RNA", at positions 334 to 654 of the family's 1533-position model. The record is from RNAcentral.
GAGCCUACGGGGCGCAGCAGUGGGGAAUAUUGCACAAUGGGAGAAAGCCUGAUGCAGCAACGCCGCGUGAAGGAAGACGGUUUUCGGAUUGUAAACCUCUAUCAAUAGGGAAGAAAGAAAUGACGGUACCUAAAUAAGAAGCCCCGGCUAACUACGUGCCAGCAGCCGCGGUAAUACGUAGGGGGCAAGAGUUAUCCGGAAUUACUGGGAGUAAAGGGAGAGUAGGAGGCAAGGUAAGCGAUAUGUGAAAGACUUAAGCUUAACUUAAGGAUUGCAUAACGAAAUAUCUAGCUAGAGUACAGGAG